UACGUAGGGGGCAAGCGUUGUCCGGAAUCAUUGGGCGUAAAGCGCGUGUAGGCGGCUAGGUAAGUCUGCUCUGAAAGCCCGGGGCUCAACCCCGGGAGGCGGGUGGAUACUGUCUAGCUCGAGUCCGGAAGAGGAGUGUGGAAUUCCUGGUGUAGCGGUGAAAUGCGCAGAUAUCAGGAGGAACACCAAUGGCGAAGGCAGCACUCUGGGACGUGACUGACACUGAGGCGCGAAAGCGUGGGGAGCGAACAGG
This 253-nucleotide ribosomal RNA is filed under the name uncultured bacterium. RNAcentral describes it as "partial 16S ribosomal RNA". It matches the Rfam family "Bacterial small subunit ribosomal RNA", at positions 524 to 776 of the family's 1533-position model. The record is from RNAcentral.